UUAUGAUGCAACUUUCAUGGCUGACAGU
This 28-nucleotide small RNA is filed under the name Bombyx mori (domestic silkworm). Its description in RNAcentral is "piRNA piR-bmo-1294119". The record is from RNAcentral. Lineage: Eukaryota; Metazoa; Arthropoda; Insecta; Lepidoptera; Bombycidae.